UUCGCAAUGCCCGAAAGGGUGACGAAGCGACGCCGCGUGGGUGAGGAAGGCCUUCGGGUUGUAAAGCUCUGUCAGGAGUUAAGAAAUGUAAGUGUGCUAAUACCACAUUUAUUUGACGAAGGCUCCAAAGGAAGCCACGGCUAACUCUGUGCCAGCAGCCGCGGUAAUACAGAGGUGGCAAGCGUUGUUCGGAAUUAUUGGGCGUAAAGAGCACGUAGGUGGGUUUGUAAGUCAGAUGUGAAAGCCUUCUGUUCAACGGAAGAAUUGCAUCUGAAACUGCGAGUCUUGAGUGUAGGAGGGGAGAGUGGAACUUCUGGUGGAGCGGUGAAAUGCGUAGAUAUCAGAAGGAACGUCGGCGGCGAAAGCGACUCUCUGGCCUAUUACUGACACUGAGUGUGCGAAAGUUAGGGGAGCAAACGGGAUUAGAUACCCCGGUAGUCCUAACCGUAAACGAUGGGCACUAAGUAGAGGGGUUUU
RNAcentral lists this ribosomal RNA (477 nucleotides) under Candidatus Scalindua brodae. RNAcentral describes it as "bacterial SSU rRNA". It matches the Rfam family "Bacterial small subunit ribosomal RNA", at positions 365 to 832 of the family's 1533-position model. Lineage: Bacteria; Pseudomonadati; Planctomycetota; Candidatus Brocadiia; Candidatus Brocadiales; Candidatus Scalinduaceae. The record is from RNAcentral.